GCGUCCUUAGCUCAGCUGGAUAGAGUACCUGGCGACGAACCAGGCGGUCGGAGGAUCGAAUCCUCCAGGACGCGCCA
RNAcentral lists this transfer RNA (77 nucleotides) under Vibrio parahaemolyticus. RNAcentral's name for it is "tRNA-Arg". It matches the Rfam family "tRNA". Rfam says of the family: Transfer RNA (tRNA) molecules are approximately 80 nucleotides in length. Their secondary structure includes four short double-helical elements and three loops (D, anti-codon, and T loops). Lineage: Bacteria; Pseudomonadati; Pseudomonadota; Gammaproteobacteria; Vibrionales; Vibrionaceae. The record is from RNAcentral.